GGGGAGGGUGGGGGUAGGGGCGGAGCAACGGACAGCUCCUCCAAGGCGCUUGCGUUUUAUAGGUUGCCAUAGCGACCAGGAACGCGAUCCUCAGCCUGGCUUCCAAUCUGGGUGCCCUCAACGCCUUAGGUCGGAGUAUCUGAGGUUUCCGGAGCCCGCACCAGCGGGUAGGAACGAUCAGUCGGUUUCCAAAAAAUAAGUUACUGGGUCUAUUUUGAUGGCGACAACAUCCUCAUUCAAGAGUACCAGUAAAAGCCCAAGGCAGAAAAUAACGACUAAAUAGUAUAGGAAAAUCAGUCACACAAAGCAACAUGGAACGGAAAACACUAAAGUUGAGAACUAAUCCUCAGUUAUCUUUACUGCUUUAAACUUCGGCAGGUAGGAAACUAUGUGAAAGAAUUCUCUGAUGUCAUAAUUUCUGGGUGUCACUGGCUCAUUCGACCAGCCUUCCUUUGGCACAUUCCAUCCUCCUAUGGAAGGAGAAUAGAAGCAUUUGAUUUAUUUAGCCUCUACAGGAAUCAAACUUCACUUAUUUUGGUUUUCAGUGAAUUAUGCCUUUUCGGUUUGGUACUCAGCCAAGGAGGUUUCCAGUGGAAGGAGGAGAUUCUUCAAUUGGUCCUGAACCUGGCCUGAGCUCCAGUACUGCAUGGUAUAGGAAAGAGACUCCACCAACCAGGCAACUCCGAAGAUGCCCUGGAAGUCACUGUCUGACAAUCACUGAUGUUCCUGUCAAUCUUUAUGCGACAAUGAGAAAACCACCUGCUCAAAGCAGCAAGGAAAUGCACCCCAAAUAGCCGCUCCUUUGGUGAAGAUCAUCAUAAGGCUUUUGUAGAGGUUUGACUAGGUCAAGGUAAUGGGCCAGUAUCAUUUUAUGAUCUGGUAAACAAAUAAAAGUGGUGACACCAUUGGAUGUUCACAA
Molecule: RNA transcript, 919 nt
Organism: Sarcophilus harrisii (Tasmanian devil)
Lineage: Eukaryota; Metazoa; Chordata; Mammalia; Dasyuromorphia; Dasyuridae
Gene: FAM229B
Gene name: family with sequence similarity 229 member B
Exons: 5
Source: RefSeq, a predicted model, not a curated record